RNAcentral lists this ribosomal RNA (506 nucleotides) under uncultured bacterium. RNAcentral's name for it is "partial 16S ribosomal RNA". It matches the Rfam family "Bacterial small subunit ribosomal RNA", at positions 28 to 523 of the family's 1533-position model. The record is from RNAcentral.
GAUGAACGCUAGCUACAGGCUUAACACAUGCAAGUCGAGGGGUAACGAGAGGAAAGCUUGCUUUCCUUGUCGACGACCGGCGCACGGGUGAGUAACGCGUAUCCAACCUGCCCCCAACUAGGGAAUAACCUUGCGAAAGUAAGACUAAUACCCUAUAAUUUCCUCAGAUGUCAUCUGACGAGGAAUAAAGAUUUAUCGGUUGCGGAUGGGGAUGCGUCUGAGUAGCUUGUUGGCGGGGUAACGGCCAACCAAGGCAACGAUCAGUAGGGGUUCUGAGAGGAAGGUCCCCCACAUUGGAACUGAGACACGGUCCAAACUCCUACGGGAGGCAGCAGUGAGGAAUAUUGGUCAAUGGGCGGAAGCCUGAACCAGCCAAGUAGCGUGCAGGAUGACGGCCCUAUGGGUUGUAAACUGCUUUUAUACAGGAAUAAAGUUAGCCACGUGUGGUUAUUUGUAGGUACUGUAUGAAUAAGGACCGGCUAAUUCCGUGCCAGCAGCCGCAGUAA